CUGCGCGCUUACCAUGCAGUCGAGCGGGGAAGGUAGCUUGCUACCUGACCUAGCGGCGGACGGGUGAGUAAUGCUUAGGAAUCUGCCUAUUAGUGGGGGACAACAUUCCGAAAGGAAUGCUAAUACCGCAUACGCCCUACGGGGGAAAGCAGGGGAUCUUCGGACCUUGCGCUAAUAGAUGAGCCUAAGUCAGAUUAGCUAGUUGGUGGGGUAAAGGCCUACCAAGGCGACGAUCUGUAGCGGGUCUGAGAGGAUGAUCCGCCACACUGGGACUGAGACACGGCCCAGACUCCUACGGGAGGCAGCAGUGGGGAAUAUUGGACAAUGGGCGAAAGCCUGAUCCAGCCAUGCCGCGUGUGUGAAGAAGGCCUUUUGGUUGUAAAGCACUUUAAGCGAGGAGGAGGCUACUUAGAUUAAUACUCUAGGAUAGUGGACGUUACUCGCAGAAUAAGCACCGGCUAACUCUGUGCCAGCAGCCGCGGUAAUACAGAGGGUGCGAGCGUUAAUCGGAUUUACUGGGCGUAAAGCGUGCGUAGGCGGCUUUUUAAGUCGGAUGUGAAAUCCCUGAGCUUAACUUAGGAAUUGCAUUCGAUACUGGGAAGCUAGAGUAUGGGAGAGGAUGGUAGAAUUCCAGGUGUAGCGGUGAAAUGCGUAGAGAUCUGGAGGAAUACCGAUGGCGAAGGCAGCCAUCUGGCCUAAUACUGACGCUGAGGUACGAAAGCAUGGGGAGCAAACAGGAUUAGAUACCCUGGUAGUCCAUGCCGUAAACGAUGUCUACUAGCCGUUGGGGCCUUUGAGGCUUUAGUGGCGCAGCUAACGCGAUAAGUAGACCGCCUGGGGAGUACGGUCGCAAGACUAAAACUCAAAUGAAUUGACGGGGGCCCGCACAAGCGGUGGAGCAUGUGGUUAAUUCGAUGCAACGCGAAGACCUUACCUGGUCUUGACAUAG
RNAcentral lists this ribosomal RNA (949 nucleotides) under Acinetobacter johnsonii. Its description in RNAcentral is "bacterial SSU rRNA". It matches the Rfam family "Bacterial small subunit ribosomal RNA", at positions 40 to 989 of the family's 1533-position model. Lineage: Bacteria; Pseudomonadati; Pseudomonadota; Gammaproteobacteria; Moraxellales; Moraxellaceae. The record is from RNAcentral.